CAGCCGCCACGGUAACACGUAGGGUGCGAGCGUUAAUCGGAAUUACUGGGCGUAAAGCGUGCGCAGGCGGUUUUGUAAGACAGGCGUGAAAUCCCCGGGCUCAACCUGGGAAUGGCGCUUGUGACUGCAAAGCUAGAGUGCGGCAGAGGGGGAUGGAAUUCCGCGUGUAGCAGUGAAAUGCGUAGAUAUGCGGAGGAACACCGAUGGCGAAGGCAAUCCCCUGGGCCUGCACUGACGCUCAUGCACGAAAGCGUGGGGAGCAAACAGGAUUAGAUACCCGGGUAGUCCCUGUCUCUUAUAC
RNAcentral lists this ribosomal RNA (301 nucleotides) under uncultured bacterium. RNAcentral's name for it is "partial 16S ribosomal RNA". It matches the Rfam family "Bacterial small subunit ribosomal RNA", at positions 509 to 807 of the family's 1533-position model. The record is from RNAcentral.